Molecule: signal recognition particle RNA, 97 nt
Filed under: Deltaproteobacteria bacterium
Lineage: Bacteria; Pseudomonadati; Myxococcota; Myxococcia
Description: signal recognition particle sRNA small type
Rfam family: Bacterial small signal recognition particle RNA
About the family: The signal recognition particle (SRP) is a universally conserved ribonucleoprotein involved in the co-translational targeting of proteins to membranes. Archaeal SRP consists of a 7S RNA and homologues of the eukaryotic SRP19 and SRP54 proteins.
Source: RNAcentral
UGAGGAGUCCUUGGCGAUAAAAGCCUAUCAAUUCCGCUAGGUCCGAAAGGAAGCAACGGUCGUAGUGACUUUUAGGUGUUCAAGGUUCUCCUCGUUG